RNAcentral lists this ribosomal RNA (475 nucleotides) under uncultured bacterium. RNAcentral describes it as "bacterial SSU rRNA". It matches the Rfam family "Bacterial small subunit ribosomal RNA", at positions 30 to 523 of the family's 1533-position model. The record is from RNAcentral.
AUUGAACGCUGGCGGCAUGCCUUACACAUGCAAGUCGAACGGCAGCACGGGAGCAAUCCUGGUGGCGAGUGGCGAACGGGUGAGUAAUAUAUCGGAACGUGCCCGGUCGUGGGGAUAACGUAGCGAAAGCUACGCUAAUACCGCAUACGAUCUACGGAUGAAAGCGGGGGAUCGCAAGACCUCGCGCGAUUGGAGCGGCCGAUAUCAGAUUAGGUAGUUGGUGAGGUAAAGGCUCACCAAGGCGACGAUCCAUAGCUGGUCUGAGAGGAUGAUCAGCCACACUGGGACUGAGACACGGCCCAGACUCCUACGGGAGGCAGCAGUGGGGAAUAUUGGACAAUGGGCGAAAGCCUGAUCCAGCAAUGCCGCGUGAGUGAUGAAGGCCUUAGGGUUGUAAAGCUCUUUUACCCGGGAUGAUAAUGACAGUACCGGGAGAAUAAGACUCCGGCUAACUCCGUGCCAGCAGCCGCGGUAA